AAACUUUUAACAACGGAUCUCUUGGUUCUGGCAUCGAUGAAGAACGCAGCGAAAUGCGAUAAGUAAUGUGAAUUGCAGAAUUCAGUGAAUCAUCGAAUCUUUGAACGCACAUUGCGCCCCUCGGUAUUCCGGGGGGCAUGCCUGUUCGAGCGUCAUUA
RNAcentral lists this ribosomal RNA (158 nucleotides) under fungal sp. TRN491. RNAcentral's name for it is "5.8S ribosomal RNA". It matches the Rfam family "5.8S ribosomal RNA". Rfam says of the family: 5.8S ribosomal RNA (5.8S rRNA) is a component of the large subunit of the eukaryotic ribosome. It is transcribed by RNA polymerase I as part of the 45S precursor that also contains 18S and 28S rRNA. The record is from RNAcentral. Lineage: Eukaryota; Fungi.